Molecule: ribosomal RNA, 424 nt
Filed under: Verrucomicrobiota bacterium
Lineage: Bacteria; Pseudomonadati; Verrucomicrobiota
Description: Verrucomicrobia bacterium partial 16S ribosomal RNA
Rfam family: Bacterial small subunit ribosomal RNA
Source: RNAcentral
UGAGGAAUAUUGGUCAAUGGACGAGAGUCUGAACCAGCCAAGUAGCGUGCAGGAUGACGGCCCUAUGGGUUGUAAACUGCUUUUGUUUGGGAAUAAUCGACAUUACGUGUAAUGUUUUGCAUGUACCAUUCGAAUAAGGACCGGCUAAUUCCGUGCCAGCCGCCGCGGUAAUACGGAAGGUCCAGGCGUUAUCCGGAUUUAUUGGGUUUAAAGGGAGUGUAGGCGGUUGGUUAAGCGUGUUGUGAAAGGUAGAUGCUCAACAUCUGACUUGCAGCACGAACUGGGUGACAAGAGUACAAACAACGUAGGCGUGAUUCAUAGUGUAGCGGUGAAAUGAUUAGAAAUCAUGGAGAACUCCAAUUGCGAAGGCAGCUAACGGGAGUAUUACUGAAGCAUAAGCUCGAAGGUACGGGUAUCGAACAGG